CUGAUUUUAAUUUUUUUUUCUAUUAUCAGCAGAAACACUGUUUUUUUAAUUAAAAAAUAAUUUUCUGAGCAUAAUUUUGUGACUAUUUCAAGCUUGUUAUGGGGAGUUAAACAGCAACUGGUCUUAGUGAAUAUAGAAAGCACAAAUGUCAUUAGGUGGUUCUGGUCAUGGCUGUGUAUAUUUUGUGUAGAAUACACAGUGAUCUGUGAGACUGGCUGAAAAUCAGAUUUGGGGGAGUAGGGAGGAUUUCAUACCCACUUAUCUGUAAUAUCAAUAAAAUAUGCUAUUUUUAAUAAGAUUUCCUCCAUGUCCCUAGACCGCAAUCUAGUUUCCUGCAUUUCAGACUGGAUUCAAUUUCAGAGUAGAUUUAAUUUUCAUUAUCAAUCCUGAAAACAGGUUUUGUAAUGGCAACGGUUGCAAAUGCUCCAGUGUGGCAAAUCUUGAAGUGCACACUUUUCCUGGGCUCUGAGCGCUGAAGGGAAGGCAGAAGAAGAGCCUGUGCUGGUUGAAGCAAGAAAAGCUGCUCUUGUGGCUGGAGGGCAAAGCACUCCCUUGGGAAGUUGAGCGCCCGGUUCUACUCCCAUGGAGCUUUUGUUCCUGGAUGUAAUUUACAGCCUGUGUCCUGCAGAGAGUUAGGAAGAUGAACAAUGGCUCCUAGUUGUUUACUCCUGAAAAAAGCAGCAACCCAGAUUGGCACCUACAGUGUGGAUUCAUCAGCCUGUUUUACUGGUUUGCCCCAGAUCCCUAAACAACUCACUAAUCCAAGGCAGGCAGAAGCCUCCAGAGCCUGAGCUGCCUUUAAGGAAUUCUGUCGGACCAUGUGGCCCCACCAUCGUUCCUGUUCCCAGCGCCACCGCAGCAGCGCACGCGCGGGGGAACACAGGGGAAACCGAGGGGAGAAGGGCACACUCUGGUUCCCUGCAGGUGAUUUCUGUCUGUCUCUGCCCCUCCUUCUCCUGGCUGGCCUUCCCAGCACACACCGUGCAAGAAGUGCCUGGAAC
This 1001-nucleotide long non-coding RNA is filed under the name Junco hyemalis (dark-eyed junco). Its description in RNAcentral is "lncRNA (ENSJHYG00000011451.1)". Lineage: Eukaryota; Metazoa; Chordata; Aves; Passeriformes; Passerellidae. The record is from RNAcentral.